Molecule: ribosomal RNA, 432 nt
Filed under: uncultured bacterium
Lineage: Bacteria
Description: partial 16S ribosomal RNA
Rfam family: Bacterial small subunit ribosomal RNA
Source: RNAcentral
AACGAACGCUGGCGGCAGGCCUAACACAUGCAAGUCGAGCGAGGACUUCGGUUCUAGCGGCGGACGGGUGAGUAACGCGUGGGAAUGUGCCCUUCUCUACGGAAUAGCCCUGGGAAACUGGGAGUAAUACCGUAUACGCCCUAUUGGGGAAAGAUUUAUCGGAGAAGGAUCAGCCCGCGUUGGAUUAGGUAGUUGGUGGGGUAAUGGCCUACCAAGCCGACGAUCCAUAGCUGGUUUGAGAGGAUGAUCAGCCACACUGGGACUGAGACACGGCCCAGACUCCUACGGGAGGCAGCAGUGGGGAAUCUUAGACAAGGGGGGCAACCCUGAUCUAGCCAUGCCGCGUGAGUGAUGAAGGCCUUAGGGUUGUAAAGCUCUUUCAGCUGGGAAGAUAAGGACGGUACCAGCAGAAGAAGCCCCGGCUAACUCCGU